This 465-nucleotide ribosomal RNA is filed under the name uncultured Klebsiella sp. RNAcentral describes it as "bacterial SSU rRNA". It matches the Rfam family "Bacterial small subunit ribosomal RNA", at positions 338 to 795 of the family's 1533-position model. Lineage: Bacteria; Pseudomonadati; Pseudomonadota; Gammaproteobacteria; Enterobacterales; Enterobacteriaceae. The record is from RNAcentral.
CCUACGGGAGGCUGCAGUGGGGAAUAUUGCACAAUGGGCGCAAGCCUGAUGCAGCCAUGCCGCGUGUGUGAAGAAGGCCUUCGGGUUGUAAAGCACUUUCAGCGGGGAGGAAGGCGUUAAGGUUAAUAACCUUGUCGAUUGACGUUACCCGUAGAAGAAGCACCGGCUAACUCCGUGCCAGCAGCCGCGGUAAUACGGAGGGUGCAAGCGUUAAUCGGAAUUACUGGGCGUAAAGCGCACGCAGGCGGUCUGUCAAGUCGGAUGUGAAAUCCCCGGGCUCAACCUGGGAACUGCAUUCGAAACUGGCAGGCUAGAGUCUUGUAGAGGGGGGUAGAAUUCCAGGUGUAGCGGUGAAAUGCGUAGAGAUCUGGAGGAAUACCGGUGGCGAAGGCGGCCCCCUGGACAAAGACUGACGCUCAGGUGCGAAAGCGUGGGGAGCAAACAGGAUUAGAUACCCGGGUAGUC